GUCGUCAGCUCGUGUCGUGAGAUGUUCGGUUAAGUCCGCUAACGAGCGCAACCCUCGCUGUGUGUUAUAUGUGUCACACGGGACUGCCGGUCUUAAGCCGGAGGAAGGUGGGGAUGAUGUCAAGUCAGCAUGGCCUUUAUAUCCUGGGCUACACACACGCUACAAUGGCCAGCACAGUAGGUUGCUAAGCCGCGAGGUGGAGCCAAUCCAUAAAGCUGGUCUCAGUUCAGAUUGCAGGCUGCAACCCGCCUGCAUGAAGAUGGAGUUGCUAGUAACCGCAGGUCAGCUAUACUGCGGUGAAUACGUUCCCGGGGCUU
Molecule: ribosomal RNA, 317 nt
Filed under: uncultured Leptolinea sp.
Lineage: Bacteria; Bacillati; Chloroflexota; Anaerolineae; Anaerolineales; Anaerolineaceae
Description: bacterial SSU rRNA
Rfam family: Bacterial small subunit ribosomal RNA
Source: RNAcentral